UGCAGGCUGCUCUGCGGAUUUGCCUCUCGGAUACUGUUUACACACCAGACAGGAGGCAAAGGCCGUGAGGGAGCUGUGGCUGUGUGCAGUGCAAACACGGCAGUUUGGGCAAAACAAACAACAGGGCAACAGAGGAGAGAGCAAGCCCCACUGUCUACUCAGAGGAAAACACUGGAGAUACGCAGAAAGAACUUGGUAACAUCACCCACAGCAGCUCAGGGGUUCUGGGCGCCUGGACCAUCUGGCUUGCUUAGAGCACUGGGAAGUGCUAGGAAACGGUCCGGCUCUUGUGGAUGACUUCAUGUUCUGGCCUUUCGAGACUUAUGCUGUUUCAAGUACCGACACUGGAUCCAUGCUCACAAAUAUGUGUCCAUAGAUUCACUUCACGUGGAAGUGAUGCUGGCUAUGAUGUUAAAGUUGGUAUUAUCGACUUGCAGAAAUGAUACCUAAACAAAUGAUUUUCAGUCUGGAACCAGCACAUGUGAAGAAGCCAACACCUGUCAUUAUGAGACCAUGCCAGAUCUACACCAGUAACAAACAAACAAACAACACUCAUUUGGAAACAUUCACUCUACUCUAUUUCAAACACUGCAGGCAGUGAUAUGGAAGACCGAAGAAAUCCCAAAGACACCAGGGCCUUGAGAUGGUGCCAGGGAUUGGCAAGACACACUUGUACUGCAUCCACACAGCUCAAUGGCCCGCCCAAGACUUUAAAAGUUGGAUGGUGUCAGGUGUGCCAGGAAGACAUGCUACUGCCAGUCUGUUUGGAUCCGAAUUUUCCACCAGACUUGGGUGAUAUGGACAAGUCACUAUCAAUCUAAGCUUCGGUUUCCCCAGCAACAGAAAAGAAAGAGUAGGGGGAAAGGUCUGGAGCAAUUUCUGUCUGCAAGGAACAUUUUGUGCCCCUGUGCGACAUAUGGCUGCUUUUCACUUUGCCCGAACCCAUUGCAUUCCUGUAACUAUACAUUUUAUUUAUUCUUUCCUUUUUGACUCCUUAAAACAACAUAGUUGUUGCUUAUUGAGGAAUAAAUUGAAAAUCACAAAUUUGCAAUGGUACCAGAACUGACUUAUGAAAACAUGUUUCCUACCAAGUUCUAUUUACUAAAGUUGAAUUGUAGACUCAAUCCCACCAUUCCUGGUCCAUGCUCACAAGGCAUCAGAAAAUCAAAACUGGGAAGUGAAUGGACCAGCUCUUCAUUCAUUUCCUGUUAACCAACAUCACACUUCCGACACAUUUCAGGUUGCCUACACCAAUCAGAAUGAAAGGAACGUGGCAGCAGACAGCCAGUUACUAUCAAUUAAAAUGUCUAGAUGGGACUUUUGACUUCCGGCUCAUCUCUUUCCUUCUAGUGAGACUUAAGGAAAAAUCCAGAUAGUAGAUUGAUAUUAGAAGGGAGAGAGACAGCUCCAAGCAGCAAGGGGAAAUGUUCCUCUAAGUGUGCAGACAUGAAAGCUGGGGAAGGAAAGUUAAAAAUUACCCGAGGGCAGGCAGGACACCUGCUAAAGCCUUUGCCCGGAUCACAGCUGGAAAAAAAAAUGAAAGCCAAGCAAACAAGUGUCCUGCAUGCAUGCGAUCAUUCUUUUGUCUUUUCCCCCUUAUGAACAAUUACAGUAUGCAAAGAUUAGGGGGAGAUCUCCAAGUAUUAGGAUGAAAUUUUCCUUAGGCUCUGCAUAUAAAUAGCAGAGGCGGGGAGUGAGCCUUGGAGAACAAGAUGCAUUUGGGCGCCCUGCGCCUGGAAGCCGGUGGUAAUUAAUGCAUAGUGGAUGACUUUGAAUGAAGGAUGAAUAGGGGGCCUAACAAUGGGUAGG
Myodes glareolus (Bank vole) is the source of this 1809-nucleotide non-coding RNA. NCBI's taxonomy places the organism in Eukaryota, Metazoa, Chordata, Mammalia, Rodentia, Cricetidae. The record is from RefSeq and is a predicted model, not a curated record.